Molecule: long non-coding RNA, 297 nt
Filed under: Parus major (Great Tit)
Lineage: Eukaryota; Metazoa; Chordata; Aves; Passeriformes; Paridae
Description: lncRNA (ENSPMJG00000013445.1)
Source: RNAcentral
UGAUCACAGAGGUCCACACGCUACGUUUUACCGACCCUAAAGCCCAGCAAGGUGCAGGUUUGUUUUUUUCCCUGCCAUGCUAAGUCAAGUUACACCAUCCAAACUACAUUUCCAUGAGCUGGGACCCUGCAGCAAGUGGAAGCGACCUCAAGGCCACCCUCCACCUCCUUAGUUCAACACUGGUGAAAGAACUGCUCAGAUCUAAUUUGAGAUAGGAUUUUCCUUGUGACUGCGGUCUCCUUUGGGAAUGGCCACAUGAAUUAUUUCAAAGACCGGGUGUGAAGUUUGGAUGGUCCA